This is a long non-coding RNA of Pecten maximus, 1575 nucleotides long. RefSeq lists it as uncharacterized. The transcript has 3 exons. The record is from RefSeq and is a predicted model, not a curated record. Lineage: Eukaryota; Metazoa; Mollusca; Bivalvia; Pectinida; Pectinidae.
AAAAAAUGGAAGUCAUCAACCAAGAUAAUCCAGGGUCUACGGCUUUUAUUAUCAAUGCUUCUGGAAGUCCAAUAACAAAAACCUGUCUCAAUACAGAAGCAGGAAAGGCGGUGAUGUUUCAGGACAGUGUAGACGCGGCCGUGACCUGCUUCCUACCAGUCUGUAUAUCCAAGAACAAGGCUCCAGUGAAGGUUCAGGCUGUAGUUUUCAACACUCAUGUGCUGCUGUUCUCCAAAGAUGUACCGAUUAAACUCUGUCGCUGGGUCGCAGCACAGCUGAAGAACAAUAAGAAAUGAACAUCAAAACCCUACCAAAAUUAAAUAUUUUAUGAGAGUUUAAUUUUUAUACAUUGUCAAAGAAAUACAGGUGCUAGCUUGAAAAGAUCAGAUGUGUUGUUUGCCAAAAUAAUCUGAGAAUUUUAAGAAUUUUCAUUAUUUUUAUGGAAGUAAUAGAUUUAAAAAAUGCUCAUACAAAUAAAUACCAUUAAGAUUUAUUAUUUAUGAACCUGCUGGGCUGAAUUUUUCCCAAUGCAAAUACAUUAAAACUGCACAAGUAAGUUGACCUUGACAUACAUUUAUACUAUACAAGUAAAUUGACCCUGAAAUAUGUUAUACUAUACAGGUAAUUUGACCUUGACAUAUAUUUAUAUUGUACAAGUAAGUUGACCUUGACAUACAUUUAUACUGUACAGGUAAGUUGACCUUGACAUAUAUUUAUACUGUACAGGUAAGUUGACCCGACAUAUGUUUAUACUGUACAGGUAAGUUGACAUUGACAUAUGUUUAUACUGAACAGGUAAGUUGACUAUACUGUACAGGUAAGAUGACCUUGACAUACAUUUAUACUGUACAGGUAAGUUGACUAUACUGUACAGGUAAGUUGACAUUGACAUACAUUUAUACUGUACAGGUAAGUUGACAUUGACAUAUGUUUAUACUGUACAGGUAAGUUGACAUUGACAUAUGUUUAUACUGUACAGGUAAGUUGACCCGACAUAUGUUUAUACUGUACAGGUAAGUUGACAUUGACAUAUGUUUAUACUGAACAGGUAAGUUGACUAUACUGUACAGGUAAGAUGACCUUGACAUACAUUUAUACUGUACAGGUAAGUUGACCUUGACAUAUAUUUAUACUGUACAGGUAAGUUGACCCGACAUAUGUUUAUACUGUACAGGUAAGUUGACAUUGACAUAUGUUUAUACUGAACAGGUAAGUUGACUAUACUGUACAGGUAAGAUGACCUUGACAUACAUUUAUACUGUACAGGUAAGUUGACUAUACUGUACAGGUAAGUUGACAUUGACAUACAUUUAUACUGUACAGGUAAGUUGACAUUGACAUAUGUUUAUACUGUACAGGUAAGUUGACAUUGACAUAUGUUUAUACUGUACAGGUAAGUUGACCCGACAUAUGUUUAUACUGUACAGGUAAGUUGACAUUGACAUAUGUUUAUACUGAACAGGUAAGUUGACUAUACUGUACAGGUAAGAUGACCUUGACAUACAUUUAUACUGUACAGGUAAGUUGACUAUACUGUACAGGUAAGUUGACAUUGACAUACAUUUAUACUGUACA